This 211-nucleotide long non-coding RNA is filed under the name Setaria italica (foxtail millet). RNAcentral's name for it is "long non-coding RNA (SITA_LNC001811)". The record is from RNAcentral. Lineage: Eukaryota; Viridiplantae; Streptophyta; Magnoliopsida; Poales; Poaceae.
UCCCGAGCACCGCCACAUCCCCACCUAAUGGUUCAGAGCGUUGGCUGAAUCACACAUGGGGAGAAGCAAUCGCUCGCCUCCUACACUCCGUCCUCCUCCGCGCUUGUUCCGCCAUGCGUGUCGAGCUUCUCCGCGACGACUAGAGGCCAGAGCAGGAGGAGGUGGCGCGCGAGAGGAGGAGCUCGACGCCGAACUGCGCCGCCUACAGCCC